GACGAACGCUGGCGGCGUGCUUAACACAUGCAAGUCGAACGGAAAGGCCCUGCUUUUGUGGGGUGCUCGAUUGGCGAACGGGUGAGUAACACGUGAGUAACCUGCCCUUGACUUUGGGAUAACUUCAGGAAACUGGGGCUAAUACCGGAUAGGAGCUCCUGCUGCAUGGUGGGGGUUGGAAAGUUUCGGCGGUUGGGGAUGGACUCGCGGCUUAUCAGCUUGUUGGUGGGGUAGUGGCUUACCAAGGCUUUGACGGGUAGCCGGCCUGAGAGGGUGACCGGCCACAUUGGGACUGAGAGACGGCCCAGACUCCUACGGGAGGCAGCAGUGGGGAAUAUUGCACAAUGGGCGGAAGCCUGAUGCAGCAACGCCGCGUGCGGGAUGACGGCCUUCGGGUUGUAAACCGCUGUCGCCUGUGACGAAGCGUGAGUGACGGUAAUGGGUAAGGAAGCACCGGCUAACUACGUG
This 468-nucleotide ribosomal RNA is filed under the name uncultured bacterium. RNAcentral describes it as "partial 16S ribosomal RNA". It matches the Rfam family "Bacterial small subunit ribosomal RNA", at positions 28 to 507 of the family's 1533-position model. The record is from RNAcentral.